RNAcentral lists this transfer RNA (73 nucleotides) under Bavayia goroensis. RNAcentral describes it as "tRNA-Asn". Lineage: Eukaryota; Metazoa; Chordata; Lepidosauria; Squamata; Diplodactylidae. The record is from RNAcentral.
UAGAUUGAAGCCCGCUGGAUAGGGUUUUUAGUUGUUAACUAAAGGUUUAUGGGAUCGGGGCCGGUCGAUCUAG